RNAcentral lists this ribosomal RNA (460 nucleotides) under uncultured bacterium. RNAcentral describes it as "partial 16S ribosomal RNA". It matches the Rfam family "Bacterial small subunit ribosomal RNA", at positions 338 to 795 of the family's 1533-position model. The record is from RNAcentral.
CCUACGGGUGGCAGCAGUGAGGAAUAUUGGUCAAUGGGCGGAAGCCUGAACCAGCCAAGUCGCGUGAGGGAUUAAGGCCCUGCGGGUCGUAAACCUCUUUUGCCGGGGAGAAGAGGUCCGGACGUGUCCGGGCCGGGAGAGUACCCGGAGAAAAAGCAUCGGCUAACUCCGUCCCAGCAGCCGCGGUCAUACGGAGGAUGCGAGCGUUAUCCGGAUUGAUUGGGUUUAAGGGGUGCGUAGGCGGGCAUUAAAGCCGGAGGUAAAAUGUCGGGGCUCAACCCCGGCCUGCCGUCGGAACUGGGUGCCUUGAGUGGGCGAGAAGUAUGCGGAAUGCGUGGUGUAGCGGUGAAAUGCAUAGAUAUCACGCAGAACCCCGAUUGCGAAGGCAGCAUACUGGCGCCCUACUGACGCUGAGGCACGAAAGUGCGGGUAUCGAACAGGAUUAGAUACCCGUGUAGUC